GUGCCAGCCGCCGCGGUAAUACAGAGUGGGCAAGCGUUAUUCGGAAUUAUUGGGCGUAAAGGGCGCGUAGGCGGCAUGGCAAGUGGAAGGUGAAAUCCCUCGGCUUAACCGAGGAACUGCCCUCCAAACUGCUUUGCUUGAGGCCGGGAGAGGUGAGUGGAAUUCCCAGUGUAGCGGUGAAAUGCGUAGAUAUUGGGAGGAACACCAGUGGCGAAGGCGGCUCACUGGACCGUUUCUGACGCUGAGGCGCGAAAGCGUGGGGAGCAAACGGGAUUAGAUACCCGCGUAGUCC
This 292-nucleotide ribosomal RNA is filed under the name uncultured bacterium. RNAcentral describes it as "partial 16S ribosomal RNA". It matches the Rfam family "Bacterial small subunit ribosomal RNA", at positions 505 to 796 of the family's 1533-position model. The record is from RNAcentral.